GCUUUUGUGGUGUUAUGAUAGCACACUGGAUUUGUAUUCGAGAGGUUCUGGUUCGAAUCCCAGCGAGAGCA
This 71-nucleotide transfer RNA is filed under the name Stegodyphus mimosarum. It matches the Rfam family "tRNA". From Rfam's summary of the family: Transfer RNA (tRNA) molecules are approximately 80 nucleotides in length. Their secondary structure includes four short double-helical elements and three loops (D, anti-codon, and T loops). Further hydrogen bonds mediate the characteristic L-shaped molecular structure. tRNAs have two regions of fundamental functional importance: the anti-codon, which is responsible for specific mRNA codon recognition, and the 3' end, to which the tRNAs corresponding amino acid is attached (by aminoacyl-tRNA synthetases). tRNAs cope with the degeneracy of the genetic code in two manners: having more than one tRNA (with a specific anti-codon) for a particular amino acid; and 'wobble' base-pairing, i.e. permitting non-standard base-pairing at the 3rd anti-codon position. Lineage: Eukaryota; Metazoa; Arthropoda; Arachnida; Araneae; Eresidae. The record is from Rfam by way of RNAcentral.